UUAGGCCUACAGUAUUAAAAUUGGACUCAUGUACUAGGAACAUCAUUUCUUUAGCAGAAUUAUCCCACUGAAUUAAAAGGAACUCUUUUUUCAGGUGCGCAUGAUGCAACUUCCUUGAUGAUGUGUAGGCUGUUUGUCAACAUGUGAAUCCAACGUGCAUUUCUGUGAGUUGUCUCCCCUUGAAAAGAUCAAUAAUGGCGGAUAAACAAUGCGGCAUGCAGUCUGGUCACCAACGGACAGUUUUGACACUGUAUACCUGUAUUUCUACCAAUUACCUCAGUAACCUUUGUUGUGAUCACACAGAUGAUGGACCACUCUACUCUCUUUUACAACAGGUGCCCC
Saccostrea cuccullata (small rock oyster) is the source of this 342-nucleotide long non-coding RNA. RefSeq lists it as uncharacterized. The transcript is spliced from 3 exons. The record is from RefSeq and is a predicted model, not a curated record. NCBI's taxonomy places the organism in Eukaryota, Metazoa, Mollusca, Bivalvia, Ostreida, Ostreidae.